AUUGAACGCUGGCGGCAUGCCUUACACAUGCAAGUCGAACGGCAGCACGGGUGCUUGCACCUGGUGGCGAGUGGCGAACGGGUGAGUAAUACAUCGGCACAUGUCCUGUAGUGGGGGAUAGCCCGGCGAAAGCCGGAUUAAUACCGCAUACGAUCUACGGAUGAAAGCGGGGGACCUUCGGGCCUCGCGCUAUGGGGUUGGCCGAUGGCUGAUUAGCUAGUUGGUGGGGUAAAGGCCUACCAAGGCGACGAUCAGUAGCUGGUCUGAGAGGACGACCAGCCACACUGGGACUGAGACACGGCCCAGACUCCUACGGGAGGCAGCAGUGGGGAAUUUUGGACAAUGGGCGAAAGCCUGAUCCAGCAAUGCCGCGUGUGUGAAGAAGGCCUUCGGGUUGUAAAGCACUUUUGUCCGGAAAGAAAUCCUUGGCUCUAAUACAGUCGGGGGAUGACGGUACCGGAAGAAUAAGCACCGGCUAACUACGUG
This 486-nucleotide ribosomal RNA is filed under the name uncultured bacterium. RNAcentral describes it as "partial 16S ribosomal RNA". It matches the Rfam family "Bacterial small subunit ribosomal RNA", at positions 30 to 507 of the family's 1533-position model. The record is from RNAcentral.